CUUUCUUUGAUAGAAUAAAAAAAAGUUAAUAUUUCAUUAAAACAAGGCUGCUUACAUCCCAGUACAGAGAUUGGCUCAUGGCCAUAAUACAAUCAAAUCAAACCUAACCUAUGAUCUAAUAAGAGAGUCUUAAAAAACUAGCCCCAAACAAUAUUCGGCCCAAACCCAUUAGCACAAACUCUAGUUGGGGCAGGUCAUGUGUCAAAAUCCAACACCUGCCAGAACCAAGGAGAGACGCCUCUGCCGCUCGUCGCUGAACAUUAUUCACCAAGAGGGAGAUUGCAGCAAACUGAAGCUCAUCGCGUGGGCCACACACGGCUACAAAGCCUUUCU
Molecule: unclassified non-coding RNA, 333 nt
Filed under: Hevea brasiliensis (rubber tree)
Lineage: Eukaryota; Viridiplantae; Streptophyta; Magnoliopsida; Malpighiales; Euphorbiaceae
Source: RNAcentral